UACGUAGGGGGCGAGCGUUGCUCGGAAUCACUGGGCGUAAAGCGCACGUAGGCGGCUUUUUAAGUCAGGGGUGAAAUCCCGGAGCUCAACUCCGGAACUGCCUUUGAUACUGAAAAGCUUGAGUUCGGGAGAGGUGAGUGGAACUGCGAGUGUAGAGGUGAAAUUCGUAGAUAUUCGCAAGAACACCAGUGGCGAAGGCGGCUCACUGGCCCGAUACUGACGCUGAGGUGCGAAAGCGUGGGGAGCAAACAGG
This 253-nucleotide ribosomal RNA is filed under the name uncultured bacterium. Its description in RNAcentral is "partial 16S ribosomal RNA". It matches the Rfam family "Bacterial small subunit ribosomal RNA", at positions 524 to 776 of the family's 1533-position model. The record is from RNAcentral.